This 446-nucleotide ribosomal RNA is filed under the name uncultured soil bacterium. Its description in RNAcentral is "bacterial SSU rRNA". It matches the Rfam family "Bacterial small subunit ribosomal RNA", at positions 26 to 518 of the family's 1533-position model. The record is from RNAcentral.
AGAGCGAACGCUGGCGGCAGGCCUAACACAUGCAAGUCGAACGGACCCUUCGGGGUUAGUGGCAGACGGGUGAGUAACACGUGGGAACGUGCCUUUAGGUUCGGAAUAGCUCCUGGAAACGGGUGGUAAUACCGAAUGUGCCCUUCGGGGGAAAGAUUUAUCGCCUUUAGAGCGGCCCGCGUCUGAUUAGCUUGUUGGUGAGGUAAUGGCUCACCAAGGCUACGAUCAGUAGCUGGUCUGAGAGGAUGACCAGCCACAUUGGGACUGAGACACGGCCCAAACUCCUACGGGAGGCAGCAGUGGGGAAUCUUGCGCAAUGGGCGAAAGCCUGACGCAGCCAUGCCGCGUGUAUGAUGAAGGUCUUGGGAUUGUAAAUACUUUCACCGGUGAAGAUAAUGACUGUAGCCGGAGAAGAACGCCCGGCUAACUUCGUGCCAGCACGCCGC